GUGAAGUUAGUUUAAAAAUUUAAAAUAACAAAUUGUGGUCUUGUAGAUAAAUUAAUUUACUUCACU
RNAcentral lists this transfer RNA (66 nucleotides) under Teuthowenia megalops. RNAcentral describes it as "tRNA-His". Lineage: Eukaryota; Metazoa; Mollusca; Cephalopoda; Oegopsida; Cranchiidae. The record is from RNAcentral.